ACGAACGCUGGCGGCCUGCUUAACACAUGCCAGUCGAACGAUUAUUUUUCCCUAUGGAUUAGUGGCGAACGGGUGAGGAACACGUGAAGAAUCUGCCCUCCACUUUGGGAUAACUCCGGGAAACCGGGGCUAAUACCGAAUAUUGAAACAUAUGUGGCAUCAGUGAUUUUUGAAAGAAUUUCCGUGGAGGAUGACUUCGCGGCCUAUCAGCUUGUUGGUGAGGUAAUGGCUCCCCAAAGCAACGACGGGUAGCCGGCCUGAUAGGGCGACCGGCCCCACUGGGACUGAGACACGGCCCAGACUCCUACGGGAGGCAGCAGUGGGGAAUAUUGGGCAAUGGACGCAAGUCUGACCCAGCGACGCCGCGUGCGGGAUGAAGGCCUUCGGGUUGUAAACCGCUUUCAACAAGGUAGAAGCGAAUAUGACGGUGCCUGCAAAAGAAGCACCGGCUAACUAUGUGCCAGCCCCCGCGGUUAUACAUAGGGUGCAAGCGUUGUCCGGAAUUAUUGGUCGUAAAGAGCUCGUAGGUCGUUAGUUACGUCGGUGGUGAAAAUCUGGGGCUCAUCCCCUGACCUGCACUCGAUACGGGCUAACUAGAGUUUGGUAGGGUAGACUGUAAUUCCUGGUGUAGCGGUGGAAUGCGGAAUAUCAUGAGGAACACCAAUGGCCAAGGCGGUCUCUGGGCCAGUACUGACACUGAGGAUUUAAAGCGCGAGCACCCUACACGAUUAGAUACCCUGGUAGUCCGUGCCUUAUUCUUGAGCGCUACUUCUGGGACCUUCCAUGGUCUCUGCGAGGCACUGACGCUUAAGAGCCCCGCCUGAGAGUACGAUCGCA
This 837-nucleotide ribosomal RNA is filed under the name uncultured bacterium. RNAcentral's name for it is "bacterial SSU rRNA". It matches the Rfam family "Bacterial small subunit ribosomal RNA", at positions 29 to 890 of the family's 1533-position model. The record is from RNAcentral.